Molecule: ribosomal RNA, 243 nt
Filed under: uncultured bacterium
Lineage: Bacteria
Description: partial 16S ribosomal RNA
Rfam family: Bacterial small subunit ribosomal RNA
Source: RNAcentral
GAUCCUGGCUCAGGACGAACGCUGGCGGCGUGCUUAACACAUGCAAGUCGAACGGGGCAUANAGAUAUGCCUAGUGGCGGACGGGUGAGUAACACGUGAGCAACCUAUCCUAUACAACGGGAUAACACAGAGAAAUUGUGCUAAUACGGUAUAAGACCACACUCCGGCAUCGGAGAGGGGUAAAAGCUGAGGCGGUAUAGGAGGGGCUCGCGGCCCAUUAGCUAGUUGGAGAGGUAACGGCUC